RNAcentral lists this ribosomal RNA (1430 nucleotides) under uncultured organism. RNAcentral's name for it is "SSU rRNA". It matches the Rfam family "Bacterial small subunit ribosomal RNA". The record is from RNAcentral.
ACACAUGCAAGUCGAGGGGCAGCAUGGUCUUAGCUUGCUAAGGCCGAUGGCGACCGGCGCACGGGUGAGUAACACGUAUCCAACCUGCCGUCUACUCUUGGACAGCCUUCUGAAAGGAAGAUUAAUACAAGAUGGCAUCAUGAGUCCGCAUGUUCACAUGAUUAAAGGUAUUCCGGUAGACGAUGGGGAUGCGUUCCAUUAGAUAGUAGGCGGGGUAACGGCCCACCUAGUCUUCGAUGGAUAGGGGUUCUGAGAGGAAGGUCCCCCACAUUGGAACUGAGACACGGUCCAAACUCCUACGGGAGGCAGCAGUGAGGAAUAUUGGUCAAUGGGCGAGAGCCUGAACCAGCCAAGUAGCGUGAAGGAUGACUGCCCUAUGGGUUGUAAACUUCUUUUAUAAAGGAAUAAAGUCGGGUAUGCAUACCCGUUUGCAUGUACUUUAUGAAUAAGGAUCGGCUAACUCCGUGCCAGCAGCCGCGGUAAUACGGAGGAUCCGAGCGUUAUCCGGAUUUAUUGGGUUUAAAGGGAGCGUAGAUGGAUGUUUAAGUCAGUUGUGAAAGUUUGCGGCUCAACCGUAAAAUUGCAGUUGAUACUGGAUAUCUUGAGUGCAGUUGAGGCAGGCGGAAUUCGUGGUGUAGCGGUGAAAUGCUUAGAUAUCACGAAGAACUCCGAUUGCGAAGGCAGCCUGCUAAGCUGCAACUGACAUUGAGGCUCGAAAGUGUGGGUAUCAAACAGGAUUAGAUACCCUGGUAGUCCACACGGUAAACGAUGAAUACUCGCUGUUUGCGAUAUACAGCAAGCGGCCAAGCGAAAGCGUUAAGUAUUCCACCUGGGGAGUACGCCGGCAACGGUGAAACUCAAAGGAAUUGACGGGGGCCCGCACAAGCGGAGGAACAUGUGGUUUAAUUCGAUGAUACGCGAGGAACCUUACCCGGGCUUAAAUUGCAGAUGAAUUACGGUGAAAGCCGUAAGCCGCAAGGCAUCUGUGAAGGUGCUGCAUGGUUGUCGUCAGCUCGUGCCGUGAGGUGUCGGCUUAAGUGCCAUAACGAGCGCAACCCUUGUUGUCAGUUACUAACAGGUUCCGCUGAGGACUCUGACAAGACUGCCAUCGUAAGAUGUGAGGAAGGUGGGGAUGACGUCAAAUCAGCACGGCCCUUACGUCCGGGGCUACACACGUGUUACAAUGGGGGGGUACAGAGGGCCGCUACCACGCGAGUGGAUGCCAAUCCCAAAAACCUCUCUCAGUUCGGACUGGAGUCUGCAACCCGACUCCACGAAGCUGGAUUCGCUAGUAAUCGCGCAUCAGCCACGGCGCGGUGAAUACGUUCCCGGGCCUUGUACACACCGCCCGUCAAGCCAUGGGAGCCGGGGGUACCUGAAGUGCGUAACCACGAGGAGCGCCCUAGGGUAAAACUGGUGACUGGGGCUAA